Molecule: ribosomal RNA, 161 nt
Filed under: Ptyodactylus togoensis
Lineage: Eukaryota; Metazoa; Chordata; Lepidosauria; Squamata; Phyllodactylidae
Description: Ptyodactylus hasselquistii togoensis partial 12S ribosomal RNA
Source: RNAcentral
UUAACACGUCAGGUCAAGGUGUAGCCAAUGAGCGGGGUAAAGAUGGGCUACAUUUUCUAGACACAAGAAAAACACCGUACGUCUAAUGAAACAUAGACCAAAAGGCGGAUUUAGCAGUAAACUGCGCAAGACGCGCCCAAUUGAAGCCUGCUCUGGGACAC